Molecule: ribosomal RNA, 406 nt
Filed under: uncultured bacterium
Lineage: Bacteria
Description: partial 16S ribosomal RNA
Rfam family: Bacterial small subunit ribosomal RNA
Source: RNAcentral
GACGAACGCUGGCGGCGUGCUUAACACAUGCAAGUCGAACGAGUGGCGCACGGGUGAGUAAUACAUCGGAACGUGUCCUAUCGUGGGGGAUAACUGAUCGAAAGAUCAGCUAAUACCGCAUACGAUUGGAGCGGCCGAUGCCCGAUUAGCUAGUUGGUGAGGUAAAGGCUCACCAAGGCGACGAUCGGUAGCUGGUCUGAGAGGACGACCAGCCACACUGGGACUGAGACACGGCCCAGACUCCUACGGGAGGCAGCAGUGGGGAAUUUUGGACAAUGGGGGCAACCCUGAUCCAGCCAUGCCGCGUGCAGGAUGAAGGUCUUCGGAUUGUAAACUGCUUUUGUCAGGGAAGCGGUACCUGAAGAAUAAGCAACGGCUAACUACGUGCCAGCAGCCGCGGUAAUUC